This 346-nucleotide long non-coding RNA is filed under the name Jatropha curcas. RNAcentral describes it as "long non-coding RNA (JCUR_LNC001071)". The record is from RNAcentral. Lineage: Eukaryota; Viridiplantae; Streptophyta; Magnoliopsida; Malpighiales; Euphorbiaceae.
UGCAUUUGAAAAUGUCAGGAAUUAUUCACAAAAUUGAAGAGACUCUCCACAUGGGAGGCCACAAAGACGAGCACAAAGGAGAGCACCACAAAGAUGAUCAUCACCACAAGAAGGAUGAGCAUAAAGGUGAGCAUCACAAGCACGAGGGCGAACACAAGGAAGGUAUGAUCGACAAGAUCAAGGACAAAAUCCAUGGCGAUGGUCACAAAGAAGGAGAGAAAAAGGAGAAGAAGAAGAAGGAAAAGAAGAAGCAUGAGGACGGCCAUAAACAUGGUCAUAGCAGCAGCAGUGAUAGCGAUAGCGAUUAAUUAAUGAAUGGUGAUCCUCUCAUUAUAUACCUAAUUAU